CCCAAGUGAAAGAAAGAGCAAAGGGAGCAAAGAGCGAUAGAAAAAUAAGAAGCUGCAAUUACAAUUUGAGGAGGUGAUUUUCUGACUUCAAGUGAAAAAGGAAAUUGAUCUAAUCUCCGUAGAAGCUUGCACACACAAAAGUGAAAGGUGAACUUCGAACUACAUAGAGCGCACAGCUAGCUGUAGAGCUCUUACGGAAUUCCAGAGUUCGAUGUAUAUAGAUGACGACCUGUAGGGUUAUUUUUAGGCUGUUAUCUUAAGUUUAUGGUAUAUUGUGACAUGUGUUGGGGGUCCUGUGUUGCAUAUCUUUCGACAUGACCUGUAGACAUAUUUAUAAU
Olea europaea var. sylvestris is the source of this 338-nucleotide long non-coding RNA. RefSeq lists it as uncharacterized. Lineage: Eukaryota; Viridiplantae; Streptophyta; Magnoliopsida; Lamiales; Oleaceae. The transcript has 3 exons. The record is from RefSeq and is a predicted model, not a curated record.